UAAAUAGUGGCUGUCCACCAGUGCUGUUCAACAUAUUCACAAAUGAUCUUGAAAAAGGGGUAAACAAUGAGGUGGCAAAAGUUACAGACGAUACAAAAUUCCUCAACAUAUUUAAGUCCAAAGCUGACUGAGAAGAGUUAUAAAGGGAUCUCACAAAAUUGGGUAACUGAGCAACAAAAUGGCAGAUGAAGUUCAAUGCUGAUAAAUGCAAAAUAAUGCACAAUGGAAAACAUA
Chelonia mydas (Green sea turtle) is the source of this 234-nucleotide long non-coding RNA. RefSeq lists it as uncharacterized. The transcript has 3 exons. The record is from RefSeq and is a predicted model, not a curated record. NCBI's taxonomy places the organism in Eukaryota, Metazoa, Chordata, Testudines, Cheloniidae.